Molecule: ribosomal RNA, 252 nt
Filed under: uncultured bacterium
Lineage: Bacteria
Description: partial 16S ribosomal RNA
Rfam family: Bacterial small subunit ribosomal RNA
Source: RNAcentral
UACGUAGGGGGCGAGCGUUGUCCGGAAUGACUGGGCGUAAAGGGUACGUAGGCGGCUAGGCAAGUCAGAUGUGAAAGGCACAGGCUUAACCUGUGUAAGCAUUUGAAACUGUCUAGCCUGAGUUAAGGAGAGGAAAGUGGAAUUCCUGGUGUAGCGGUGAAAUGCGUAGAUAUCAGGAGGAAUACCAGUGGCGAAGGCGACUUUCUGGACUUAAACUGACGCUGAGGUACGAAAGCGUGGGGAGCAAACAGG